CUUUUUUUUUUUUUUUUUUUUUUUUUUUUUUAUUGGCUUUUUUGCUUCUUUGGGCCUCAUCCGUGGCAUAUGGAGGUUCCCAGGCUAGGGGUCGAAUCGGAGCUACAGCUGCCAGCCUACAUCACAGCCACGGCAACGUGGGAUCUGAGCGUCAUCUGUGACCUACACCACAGCGCAUAGCCACCCACUGAGCCAGGCCAGGGAUCGAACCCAUAUCCUCAUGGAUACCAGUCGGAUUUGUUUCCGAGAGGCCCACUCUGCUGCAUCAUGGCAACACUGCCUGGCCUUUGACAGGAGUCCAAGAAAUGUUCCCUGAGUGAAGGGGAGAGCAGAGCCGUACGUCAAGAUCAGGGGAAGAGCAGACAACCAGCCAGGAAGGGAAAGGGCGCUGCAGACCCGCAGACACCAGGGCAAGAAGCAGGAAAGCCAUGGAUAAGGCCAUCUUUGUGGAGCACUGGCUGGUGGUGUGGACAGUAGGGGAGGAGAAGCAAAUACGUAAAUAUACGUGUGGUAAGAUGCAAAUUUCUUUUUCUUCUAAAGGCUGGUGGGAAUAAAAUCUAACUAUCCACGUGGCCAUCGGGGGUGCGCCAAGGGUGAAAUGCCGAGUCUUUACUGAUGAAGGAAGACAGGCGACGGAAAAACAAUCAAAACCCAGGGAGUCGGAGCUUCCUCUAGACCGCAGGGCCGAGAAAGGGGGUGACACAGAGGGGCACAGACGUAAACAGAGGAGGACAGGGCGGGGCCGGGGGCAACUGUGAAAGGCAAGUACUUGCGAACUUGCAGCUCCUGGAGGUCACCACCCCUGGGGACACACGCGUCAGCAUUUUCCUCUUCGGAGAGGUGGAUGUUUCCAGGCAUUUCCACAGGCCAGGCCCUGCAUGCCUGGAUUCCACCUAAUCCUCACACCUUUAUUCUAAGACAGUGUCACUGUCCCUGAUGCAAGGAUGAGGAAGGCCAAAGAACCUGCCCAAGGACACAGUCAGAAAACUGCAGAACUAGAAUUUUUUAGUCUAUUUUUUUAGGGCCGCAUCCGUGGCAUAUGGAGGUUCCCAGGUGAGGCCCUAAAAAAAGCUACUUAUAUUCAAGUUGGCAUUUUUGACAAUUCUGGGCCCCAUGUACAAAAAAAAAAAAAAAAAGAAGGGCUUAAACCUCAGUUCCCGAUAAAAUCUCAUCCCACUCCCAACUUUUAAUUUUCUUUAGUUUUUACCAUUCCAACUUUUGAGCCUGAAAAAGUUCUUUCUAUUGAGGUGCAAUUCGCAUUUCAUCAGAUUCACCAUUCUGUGAGCUAUGCUGUGGCAUUUCAUAUAUCCCCAGUGUUGUGUGGCCACUACCUGACUCACUUCCACCACAUUCCCAUCCAUCACUCCAAAGAGAAACCUCUUCCCCAUUCAGCAGUCUCACCCCUUCCUCCUUCUUCCUGCCCCCGUCAACCACCAAUCGGCCUUCUGUCUUCAUGGGACUAUCUGUCCUGGUCACAGAAAGAGAAUCAUAUAAUAGGCGGCCUGUGUGUCUGGCUCCUGUCACUCAGGACAGUGUUUUGGAUGGACAGCCACGUUGCAGCUGUGUCACUGGUAUCUUCCUCUUGACAGCUGACUAGUCCCCCCUUGUACGGCUAUGCCAGUUUGUUUAAAUGGCCAUCCACUGCUGGACAUCUGGGCUGUUUCCACCUUUGGGCCACCUGAAUAAUGCUGCUAUGAAUGUACAGGUAUUUGUCUGAGUACUUGUUUUAAAUUCCUUUGGGUAUGUACCUAAGAGUGCAACUGCGGGGAUCAUAUGGUAAUUUUUUUUUCUUUUAGGGCCGCACC
RNAcentral lists this long non-coding RNA (1805 nucleotides) under Sus scrofa (pig). RNAcentral's name for it is "lncRNA (ENSSSCG00055019191.1)". The record is from RNAcentral. Lineage: Eukaryota; Metazoa; Chordata; Mammalia; Artiodactyla; Suidae.